This 137-nucleotide small nuclear RNA is filed under the name Sphenodon punctatus (tuatara). Its description in RNAcentral is "U4 spliceosomal RNA (ENSSPUG00000010037.1)". It matches the Rfam family "U4 spliceosomal RNA". Rfam says of the family: U4 small nuclear RNA (U4 snRNA) is a component of the major U2-dependent spliceosome. The structure of U4 snRNA from yeast and human has been reported. Lineage: Eukaryota; Metazoa; Chordata; Lepidosauria; Sphenodontia; Sphenodontidae. The record is from Rfam by way of RNAcentral.
AGCUUUGCGCAGUGACAGCAUCAUAACCCAUGAGGUUAAACCGAGGCGUGAUUAUUGCUAGUUGAAAACUUUUCCUAAUACCCUGCUGCACUAGCUUGAAAAAGUCGGUGUUUGCAAUUUUUGUCAGUCUCUGGAGA